This 496-nucleotide ribosomal RNA is filed under the name uncultured bacterium. RNAcentral's name for it is "partial 16S ribosomal RNA". It matches the Rfam family "Bacterial small subunit ribosomal RNA", at positions 29 to 507 of the family's 1533-position model. The record is from RNAcentral.
AUGCACGCUGGCGGCGUGCCUAAUACAUGCAAGUCGCGCGAACGGACGAGAAGCUUGCUUCUCUGAUGUUAGCGGCGGACGGGUGAGUAACACGUGGAUAACCUACCUAUAAGACUGGGAUAACUUCGGGAAACCGGAGCUAAUACCGGAUAAUAUUUUGAACCGCAUGGUUCAAAAGUGAAAGACGGUCUUGCUGUCACUUAUAGAUGGAUCCGCGCUGCAUUAGCUAGUUGGUAAGGUAACGGCUUACCAAGGCAACGAUGCAUAGCCGACCUGAGAGGGUGAUCGGCCACACUGGAACUGAGACACGGUCCAGACUCCUACGGGAGGCAGCAGUAGGGAAUCUUCCGAAAUGGGCGAAAGCCUGACGGAGCAACGCCGCGUGAGUGAUGAAGGUCUUCGGAUCGUAAAACUCUGUUAUUAGGGAAGAACAUAUGUGUAAGUAACUGUGCACAUCUUGACGGUACCUAAUCAGAAAGCCACGGCUAACUACGUG